UUUGGCGUUGGAUUGGGUUUCAAUCAGGCCUUACAUUAAACUGUAUUCAAUCGCUCAAAAGUAGAAUUAUAAAACUUCUUUUUCAGCUAUUUCACAAAAUUAAUUUGACCUGCAUACAUUUUCAAUACUUUACUGUUCAAAACUUAAGAAAGCAAGCUCAUUUGUGAACGAAAUUUGAGAUUUAAAACUCUGCACAUGAUAUACAUUUUGGUACAUUUGCGAUAAAUCGGCAAGAUGGAUAUCAGGAAAGAUUGGUACGAUACCAUGUAUGCCUACGCUUUUGAAAAUUGAAAAUCCUUUGAUGUACUAUUAUUUACUGCAUAUAAUCUAUUUUGACUACCAAAUACAUAUUCUUACAAUUUCUUUCUGCUAAUAUCAUGCAUGCAUGAUUGGAUGUUUGAUCGCAAAAUUUUGGUCUUGCUAUUUUGAAUUAAAGUAAUGAAUAAGCUAUUUUUCUGAGAGUAAUGUCACAUAAUUCGAGAAAGUUCCACCGAUCAUAAUUGAAAUAAAAUAAGUGUGGUUAACAAAUAAAUGUUGUGCAAAACGUAUUCAUGAA
This is a non-coding RNA of Paramuricea clavata, 556 nucleotides long. The record is from the annotation of a GenBank genome assembly. Lineage: Eukaryota; Metazoa; Cnidaria; Anthozoa; Malacalcyonacea; Plexauridae.